AAGAAAUCAUCCUGAAACAAACAGUUUAAUUUGGAUCAGAAAUUUACAAUUCAAAAUAAGAAUUCAUAAAUUCAGAAUAAUCUACAUGAUUUCAUUAUGCUAUUAGGCAGAUUUUCAUACAGUUUUUCAACAACUGGCUCCUGAAGUAGAUAUCUGUUGGAUAAAAUAGCAUAAAAAUAUUUAGUGUCCCAACCAAUAUAAGGUUAAAAGAUCUAAACACAAAAAUAUUUGCAUUUUUUUGGCCAUGUGUGCCCUUGUGGCCAACAAGGCCGAUGGUUUCCUGGAGUGAAUCAUGAAGAGCAUGGUCAGCAGAGUGAGUGAAGUUAUCCUCCAUUCUGCUCUGCCUAGGUGAGUCCACAUUUAGAAUGCUGUUUCUGUUCCUGGGCUCCUCAGUUCGAAAAGACAGGGAACUUCUAGAGAGUCCAAUGGAAGGCCACAAAGACAUUCAGGAGCAGGGAGCAUCUUCUGUAUGUGUUCCCCUCUUUUCUCCCCUGAGGGUUGAUGGGUAGUACAAAAUGGAUGCUGUACUUCCAACACAGGAAGAGUAGAAGCAGGAAAAUGAGGGCAUCUGAGCUAAAAACAAAAAGCAUUUAAAAAGUAUUGUCUCAAAAGCCACUGAAAAAAAAUUAAAAAUAUGUAUAUCCAGGCUUUAAAUCUUGUGAGCCUUGUUGAUAAGUAAAAAGACGUUUUAUCUUUCUGACAGACUUGCCAAACCAAAAGUGGAGGUCUGAAGUUCAGAAUGAAUGUUUUAGUAACAAAUAACGUACUUGAAAAUGAUUGAAACUAGGAACUGCUGUCACUCUUUUAAUUAGCUUAAGGUGCCACAAUGAAAGAGUCGGCCCUGUUCAUACGUCUGUCUGUUUUCAUUGUGAGUAGUAUUUCCUUCCCCUGUGGAUGGAACGUAAGUGCACCUAACCAGUACUUCAUUAUAUAGAAAAAGAAAAACUGAUUCUCGAUUCAUUUCAAUAUAUGAGUUAUGGGCUGGAGUGAGCAGCACUAACAUGCUCAUAUAGCCUGAAGCAAUCAGUUUAAUAGAUUCCAUGACUACUUGAUGAGUCUGAGCACAAAAGAGGGGCCAGAGGGACUCCGGGCAAGAGGCAGAAGGAGGAAAAUGAAGCAGGGACAUACAAUGAACUGAAGGCUUUCCCCCAUUUAUUGAAAUACUGGUAUGUCUGCUCUGCUGAAUAUACUGUUUCUUUUAAAAUCUUCUGGAAAUACUCUUACAAAAAUUCAAAAUACAGACACAAAUCAUUUAUAGGAGACAAAAAACAAUAAGUAGUGUCAGCACACAGUGAUAUAUUUUACUUGGCUGUGCCAGAAAGAAUUAUAGUUGGUUGUGGUGAGUGGAAUAUAAAGUAACAUAAGUUGCCUGCUGACAACAGGGUUUGAAAUUAUAAAAUGUAAAACCAAUAUAUUUCCCUCACAGUAUCAAACAGCUGGGAUUUUUUAUAGCUUCUAACAGAAUGACAUGUCAUUUUUCAGAGCCUCAUAAUUCUGUAAGCAUGUUUAAGUGCGUGCUCUUAUUUAUUUUAUACAUAGGUUUUUUGGUUUCAAGUAUUACACAGGUUGUGAGGCACUGAGAUGCAAAUACAGCAGCAGUAAUCAGCAUUUUGUUCAAAGCUGUUAGCAUAGAUAUUAGUAUAUUUUCUGUUUCUAACUUUGUUUUUCAGGCUCAAAUGGAUUGCACAUAAUACACUAAAGCAGCCAGCAAAAGCACAACCUUUUUGUGAAUCAUCAAACUAAAAAUCCUGCAGAAAUAUACAUAUUUUUUUUUCAUGCUACUUAAGAAUAUAAUUAUAAAAAUAAAUUUAUGAGAAACUGGCA
This 1824-nucleotide long non-coding RNA is filed under the name Coturnix japonica (Japanese quail). Its description in RNAcentral is "lncRNA (ENSCJPG00005006080.1)". Lineage: Eukaryota; Metazoa; Chordata; Aves; Galliformes; Phasianidae. The record is from RNAcentral.